Molecule: transfer RNA, 77 nt
Filed under: Planctomycetota bacterium
Lineage: Bacteria; Pseudomonadati; Planctomycetota
Also listed under: 1 other name
Description: tRNA-Arg
Rfam family: tRNA
About the family: Transfer RNA (tRNA) molecules are approximately 80 nucleotides in length. Their secondary structure includes four short double-helical elements and three loops (D, anti-codon, and T loops).
Source: RNAcentral
GCACCCGUAGCUCAAUUGGAUAGAGUAGUGGCCUUCGAAGCCAAUGGUUGGAGGUUCGAGUCCUCCCGGGUGCGCCA